GAUGAACGCUGGCGGCGUGCCUAAUACAUGCAAGUCGAGCGAACGGACGCGAAGCUUGCUUCUCUGAUGUUAGUGGCGGACGGGUGAGUAACACGUGGAUAACCUACCUAUAAGACUGGGAUAACUUCGGGAAACCGGAGCUAAUACCGGAUAAUAUUUUGAACCGCAUGGUUCAAAAGUGAAAGACGGUCUUGCUGUCACUUAUAGAUGGAUCCGCGCUGCAUUAGCUAGUUGGUAAGGUAACGGCUUACCAAGGCAACGAUGCAUAGCCGACCUGAGAGGGUGAUCGGCCACACUGGAGCUGAAACACGGACCAGACUCCUACGGGAGGCAGCAGUAGGGAAUCGUCCGCAAUGGGCGAAAGCCUGACGGAGCAACGCCGCGUGAGUGAUGAAGGUCUUCGGAUCGUAAAACUCUGUUAUUAGGGAAGAACAUAUGUGUAAGUAACCGUGCACAUCUUGACGGUACCUAAUCAGAAAGCCACGGCUAACUACGUG
This 497-nucleotide ribosomal RNA is filed under the name uncultured bacterium. Its description in RNAcentral is "partial 16S ribosomal RNA". It matches the Rfam family "Bacterial small subunit ribosomal RNA", at positions 28 to 507 of the family's 1533-position model. The record is from RNAcentral.